UGGUGGAGGUGGCGGCUUCGGUGGCGGAGGUGGCGGCUUCGGUGGAGGCGGAGGCAGGGGCUUUGGAGGAGGACACGGUGGUGGCCAUGGCGGUUAUGGAGGCGGACGAGGGUUCGGAGGAGGUUAUGGCGGUAAUCGUGGUUUUGGUGGUCAUGGCCAUCACUAUGGGUAGGUGCUCGACUCUCCUAAUUCAUCAUUGGUGUGUGAGAGGACUACUAUUUCUAGAUCAUGCGACAUGUGAAAUUUUCAGACGAUAUGGAUUUGAAGAUACAAGAACUACUUGUGAUUUACUUUUUAGAUAUAAAUAAAUAGCGUUAUG
Molecule: long non-coding RNA, 319 nt
Organism: Pieris napi
Lineage: Eukaryota; Metazoa; Arthropoda; Insecta; Lepidoptera; Pieridae
Exons: 2
Source: RefSeq, a predicted model, not a curated record